Molecule: long non-coding RNA, 2026 nt
Organism: Ctenopharyngodon idella (grass carp)
Lineage: Eukaryota; Metazoa; Chordata; Actinopteri; Cypriniformes; Xenocyprididae
Exons: 2
Source: RefSeq, a predicted model, not a curated record
GAAGAAGAAGAAGAAGAAGAAGAAGAAGACGGUCAGACCGAAGUAAUCAAUACACGGUCCCGAAACUUCCUUUUCGAGUAUGAGGUCUCUGUGGAACAAAAGUGGGCGUUUCUUGUGGGUGUUUAUAUAUCAUGCAAUGAAGAUGAUCCCCUUCACCUGACCCCACCCCUAAACCCUAUCCACACUCUGACGUGGGCAAAUCAACGCUCUCAAAAACGCCCCUCUGUUUAUGGCCUCGCCCAUCAAUCAUUAAUGUUCUGCAGAGACCUAGGGCACGUUCAAGCUCAAACUGGUGCGCAACGUUUUGCUAUGGUUAUACUCACAAUAAAAAAAUAAUGUUGUAUAGAUCAUAACACAGUCUCGGAGGUAAGAAGUGGAUUAUCCUUCACCUGAAAUGUUUGUCUUUUCAUCCUGAAAUAUGAGGCAAUUUGGAUCACAAUAAUUAGAAGUUUCCACAAAUUCCUUCACUUGAUUGUGGUGUUCUCUUUUAUUCUGGACAGCAGUGACUGUAACAUCGAGCGUAUUUUGCAGUUUUAAACACGUAUUUAUACCGAUUUCAUCAGGCUCCGAAAAUUCUUCAAAAAGAACACAAAGAAUGGCCUUCUCAGCUGCCAUAGUUGCAACUCAUGCGUCAUCAGAACAGGGUGUUCAACGCACCACCAUGUCCGUUUAAAAAACGUUUUGCAAACCGUUUUCCUCGCGUCUCAGCUCCACCCCCCGUUGGAUGUGAGUGAAGAAUGCAAGAAAAGAAAACGAGGACAGAGGAAUCAAAGGAAAUGUUAUUUGUAUUUUAUUUUUAUUUAUUUAAUUUUUUUUUUCUUGGACAGAUAAGCUUUUUUUAUUGCAGAGAACGGGAAGACAGACGAAUAAGCAUAUAGCACAUAAACAAAAAUAAAAAAGGAGACAAAGCAAUAAUUAAAAAAAUAAAGAGAAUAAAAUAAAAAUAAGAGGGCCAUCAUCUAACAUAUAUAGACUAUGAAGAGAUCAAAGGCAGAGCAAAUCCUAACAGUCACUUUCUUAUUAGAUACUGAAAUACAUAAUUUUCCAUUUCUUUUAAGAAGACAGGUAAACAGUUGGAAAAUUUGCAUUUGUGAAUGUAAAAUAUGCUUAGGAAAAAAAUUAAGUUGAUAACAAAACAUAUUUCCGUUUGUGGGGUCUGAGUCAUAAUACCCAAAUUAUAAUGUCUCAUUUAUUUGGUACUUAAACUCUGGAACAAUUUUCCUAGCAUUGUUCGGGAAGCAGACACACUCUGUCAGUUUAAAUCUAGACUAAAAACGCAUCUCUUUAACCUGGCAUACACAUAACACCAGAUGUAAUCAUUACAUCAGAAGAAGAAUGGCAUCUACGCUAAUAUUAGUCUCUCUGUUUAUCCCGAGGUUUACCGUAGUCAGCCGGAUCCAGGCCGUAUCCAGGUGAGAUUGAGGACCUGCGCAUUGACACGACCACAACGCAGCCCUGAAGUCCACUGUGAAGGCCUCAUCGACAUGAAAGCCAGUGGCACAGUUCCUCAACAAACCGUCUGUACCGCCGUGAUGAAUACGAUCUUCAACUGGAUGGAACUGGAAUAAAUACUUUGACUGUUGCGAUCACAUCAGACUUAUGAUAGCUGCCUGAAUCAUAACAAAGCACUGUUCACCAGAGGAGAACUGGCCCCCCGCCUAAGCCUGGUUUCUCCCAAGGUUUUUUUCUCCAUUUUUAACACCUGUUUGCCACCUGAUGUCACCUGUUGAAGUUUGGGUUCUUUGCCGCUGUCGCCUUUGGCUUGCUUAGUUGGGGACACUUGACAUUUGAUAUUCAACAGUAUUUUGAUCUGCCUGCAUUGACACCAUUGUAUGCGAACUGAACUGAGCUGGAUGAUGACAUCACUGUUUACUCCAGUACUGAAUUUACUUAAGAUGGAUACUGACACCAUUUUCUUUAAGAGCUGCUGUGCAGCCAAAAUUAUAUACCAGUUAUCACUGUAAAGCUGCUUUGACACAAUCUGCAUUGUAAAAAGCGCUAUAUAAAUAAAGGUGACUUGACUUGA